CCAUUUGCCAGCUCUGCCCUGAAUCAGCACUGUGCUCUUGCUUGCAGCCCACCCUCACUCUAGCAUCCACCUUCAGGCUCCGAUGAGAGGUUCCACAUUUCACUCUGAUGUGAACUACCCACAGUGGGCCUAACUUCAACAUUAUAUGCUGAGACAGGCAUCCUGGAGAUAAAUUGUUAUUGCUCCAUGACAUGAUGGCAUCCUCUAUCCUCCGACACCUCCCCCGAUGCAAAGGUGUAUGUGGGUCGUGGAGUGUAUGUGCUGAUCGAGCGUUCUCAAUCAAAUUAGCAUGAGAACUCACACACUCUGGCCGAAGGAAGAAAAUUAGUUCAAGAAGUGGAGGAAGAAAGAAGAAAAUGGAUAGCUGAGAGAAAAAUGAAGGACAAUGGUGGACAUAAAGAUGGGACGAGGUGAUUAGGAGGAGUUUUCACAAAAACCAUGUUAUAUUGCUCCUGUAGGCAGCGGUUGUCUUUGUUUUGUGAAUUACAUUCCCCAUCAUUCUUAGCUUUUAACUACAAAACAGGUCUCUUGGACUUGUAUUUAGUAUGUAACUGGGAACAUUUCCUUGAUCAUUGCAUCUUAAUAAUGAUUCAUCUAUCUUUAUCAAACAGAAAUAAUUGUUCUACAGGAGUUAUAUUGUGUAAAAAGUCCAUCUUCUGUCAAGUAACACCUAGCUGACACCAGAGACUGUAUAAAACAUGGACGUAGUCUCAGUGAUGUUACCCUCUUGUUUCUCAAAGGCAUCAUGAAGCCUUACAAGGGUGCAUGCAAUUUUGAAAAUGCUAACUAAAGCUAACUUAAUGGUGAAUUGGUUGCCCAUCUAGCUUGUCAAGUUAAUAAUCUAUCUAGUAGAUUAUGCACCAAAUCAUCACACAAUAUUUUAAAGGCAGUACUAGGGGCUAGCAAAACCUAUAAGCUAAAACAAAUUGAGCCUAGCCUCUUGGCAAACAGAACAAGCCCACCUGUUACUAAUACUGGCCAUGCCCCGAUUGUGUCUCAUAAGUUAUAACUCUUAGUCUAAAUAAAACACAACAGAUGAUAUAAAGACAAAUACCACACCUAUAGUGCUGGGUGACUGAUUGAGUUUCAUUUACAAUUAUAAUUCAAGGUCAAGGUCCUGUGUUGGUACCCAAAAGGAACAUGUAUUGUGCAGACUGGAGUUUCAGCGUUCCAAAGCCAAAAACAACAAAUGGCAACACUGAUUCACAAUUCAGGACACAGUCAGACAAAGUACAUGAAAAACUAACAUUAAAAUAUUACAAACAACAGUGUGAUUACAACCAAGUAAUGAUAAAGUGCUUUUGAAGACAUCCAUUCUAAAAUAACACUUGAAAAAGCGCUGAAGUGCUUUUGAAGAUUCUCUAAAUGAAAACAUAGUCCAAUAGAGUCAAAAUGCAUCAUCUUGUAUUAGUUUGUUGCACAGACAGGAGGU
Cheilinus undulatus (humphead wrasse) is the source of this 1432-nucleotide long non-coding RNA. RefSeq lists it as uncharacterized. The record is from RefSeq and is a predicted model, not a curated record. NCBI's taxonomy places the organism in Eukaryota, Metazoa, Chordata, Actinopteri, Labriformes, Labridae. The transcript has 3 exons.